Molecule: long non-coding RNA, 1547 nt
Organism: Equus caballus (horse)
Lineage: Eukaryota; Metazoa; Chordata; Mammalia; Perissodactyla; Equidae
Source: Ensembl
ACCGCCAAAGUUGAGAACCAUUGCGUAGUUAGGGCCACCUACCCUUGACCAAUGGUGGUUAGAACUGGUGGAUAAAUACAUCUCUUGGGGGAGAAUGCUCAGCACAUUCUAUGAAAACAACUCAGUGUCCCAGUGGGAUUGAGCCUUUGUUACCCACAGUGGUGAUCAGUUAGAUAACGCACCAUUGAAUUAUCUUCCCUCAUUCUCUAUUUCGCUCUUCCAAGACCCACACUCCUGUUCCUGGGAUUAAUUACAAACUGAACUGUGUGCACUCAGCCACUUAUCUCAGGCUGCUUUUGAGAAGGAACCCAGGCUAACGUAGGCAGAAAAGCGUAGAGCUUAUAUCUGGCCCUCAUUUCCUGGUCCUCAUGGGAGCGUACGAAGGAAGGAAGUAUUUGCUCCCCGUGGAACUGUCUCACACGAAGUUGGAGGCUGACAAGUCCCAAGAUCUGCAGUUGGCAAGUUGGAGGAACAAGAGACCCAAUGGUAUCGUUUCAGUCUGUGUUGAGGGCCCGAGACCCAGGAGAGCCGAUGGUGAAACCUUGGGAGUUGCUCAGGGCUUGGACACUCGGAGAGCAGUCAACCAUCGACUGACAGGAAGUCCACCUGUAACCAGCAGUAAGUUUCAGACAAGUUUGCUGUCUGAGAGCCAGCAGUUCCUGUCCCUGUGCUCAGACCAGAGAGUUCAUACUUAUGCGGACACUGCAGGGGCUCUGGGGACAGAGGAGCAAACACUGCUAAGUGAUGAGAAUGCACCAGUAAGAUGUUUCCUGGCCUCAAGGGGCUCAAGCUCAUGCGAGAGGAGAUAAACUGCCACACAGCACGCAGGAAACAUAAACCAGGGCUGGACCAGAGAAGGCUUUGUGCUAAGCAAGCAUGAAAAAGAAUGCCGCUUAUGGCUAUACCCACGCUGUGAACUACGAUGAAUAGAAUUCGACUCACAAUUGCCAAAGAGAAGUCUACAUGGUCUUUGAAUAUGUGAUUUACCUACAAAUCUUUUGCAAAUUACCUUAAUCCUACAUAUUCACAUUUGUGCUCUUCCUAACCAUAAUGUGCCGUCUGGAUUUAGCCCUGAAGGGCUGUUUUAAUGGACAAGCACUUGAUUUGUUUCGUGGUUUUCAGGAUUUGUUUAAUAAACAUUUCUUGAGCACCAAUUAUGUCCCAGGGCCAAUGCUGUAUGCUGGACUCAAGGAAGCUAAGACUUGCUCUCAGGGGUCUGACAAUCUAGUGCUGUAGAAACAUAAGAAAAUAUGGAAUCCAGAGCAGAGAGGAACCAACAAUAUGUAGGUCUCAGAGAUGACACAUUGUGUGAAAGGCUGACAACUGAAAGCAUACUUACAUGUCUUUAUAUAUGAAAAUUCUUUACGGAAGAAUAAAAUCUUUAGGAUUGAAAUACAUUUUAAUUUUCGCAAACUGGCCGUUCCUUUUCUUUGAGCUUAUAAACAUUGUUGACAGCGAAUUGUUAGUGGGAUAAGAAAAAAAAAUACAGAAGAGAGACUUUGCUUUAUUAUGUCAAAAAUGAUCAACUGACACAUAGGAAAGACACA